Epinephelus fuscoguttatus (brown-marbled grouper) is the source of this 6604-nucleotide RNA transcript. It is a transcript of the gene named protein O-linked mannose N-acetylglucosaminyltransferase 2 (beta 1,4-), with no coding region annotated. The record is from RefSeq and is a predicted model, not a curated record. The transcript is spliced from 4 exons. Lineage: Eukaryota; Metazoa; Chordata; Actinopteri; Perciformes; Serranidae.
GCUGCUCUUUCUCUAUCUGUCUGUCUGUCCGCCUGUCUCUGUCUCUCUGCCACACAGCUAACGGCAGGCUAGCUUGACAACAGCACCACGUAACAACGUCGAAGUCUCGGUCAGCCUAAUGACAGAACACGCCUGUGUUUCUUCUUAUAUCGUCAGCGUCCUCUACAAAUCCCCCUCUUCUUUUCCUCUCCACUAACGGUUCAUGUCAUGCGUUCAUGAUCAGGAUCGUCUCUGCAACACACCGAGGAGCUAACGUUAACAUUCCACUGAGGGCUGAGGAGCACCACCAAGUGCCAGUGACUCUGGACACUUUGUACUGCAACCGUGCCAUCUAUGAAGAUAUGGCAAAGAUAAUGGCGGACAACGGCUACAAUCAGUCCUGGCUCUAGUGUCAGCGAAAAAUGAAACACCUCAAACUUGUGACACGAAGGCAAACAAUACUAACAAAAGGAGUGGUAGGGGCAGUGCAACUUGUCCCUUUUUCGAAGACAUCGAUGCACUGCUCCGCAAUAGACCCGCAUAUAGCCCUGGUCUGGGGGACGGGUUAAAUCUGAGGACAUCGUUACCAUGGAGCCCACCAACAGUGAGGAGGACAGUUGGACUGGAGUAAUGCCAGACAACCAGCCUGAUGAUUGCGAUGAUUGUGCCAGGACACCGACCUCAGAAGCCACAGAAGCAACCCCCAAUGCAGCAGAGAGCUCCAAAUCCCUUUGCCAUCAGUACCUUGUGAACUAUCAGCUAAAACCCUCACAAAGCCAAUUAGCCAUGAUCUAGGGAGGAGACCUAAAAGGAAUGUACAGCCCCCUGACUACUAUGGGACUCCGCCACAGCAGAGGCUGUCCACACAGUCCCAUGGCUCAUUGAGUUACCACAGCAGGAAGACUUAAAGCACCAAGUCAGUCUCUAGUCUUCCAACAAGAUUGCAACUUAGUAGGCAUUCCAGGAGCAGCCAUGCCUUUAAUUUGAGUGAUCUCCAAACCAGCAUUCUUGAGGAAAAGAGAAUAAGAGAUGAACAGGAGGAACUUAAAAGACAAAGAAAGGAGGAGAAUGAACUUGAUGAACAAGGUAAAUUUUUUGAUGAGAAGGCCAGAGCUGCCCAGCAUAUGCAAGAAGACGCACACAAGGAGAGAGACAGAGUUGUCAGAGAGGUUAACAUGAACCGACGCGUUCGUAUUAAAGAACAACAGCUCGAGUCAGCCCAGCUUGUUUCUGCUUUUAUUUGACAGAACCUCUCCAAAGAUGCUGAAGAUGAUCACCUCAAAGGAGCUUCCACUUUUACUCCCAUAUCUCUUCCUGAUAAUGUAGCCGCCUCAUCCUUCAAUGACCUGCCUCAUUCCAGGGUGUUCACUCUUGCCCACACUAAUUUGGGGUAUGCUGACUCUGACUCUUAUUCAGCUUUGAGUUCCUCAUUUUCCAAACUUGGCCUCCCAAAAGGGGAGCUAAGAGACAAAUUUCUUCCCAGGCCUCAACCAAGUCAGCAAAGCAUAGCUACUGACCAAGCUGCAUUCACUUUGCCCUCCAUAGUUAUUGCUCAAGCUGUGCCCACUUUGCCCUCCAUAGCUAGUGCCCAAGCUGCACCUAGUUUGCCCUCCAUAGUCACUGUCCAAGCCCGUAAUUAUAUUGCAUCCCUGACUGAUCCUAAACAGCCCACUUUCACUGGUGGUCAGUUACCGAUGCAAGCUAUGUCAUUCCAGCAGCCACAUUCUGCUUACACACAUAUUCAAACCCCCAAUGUUAUGGAGUUCAUGGAUCUGCCUAUGGAAUACCAAGGCCCUCACUUCCUGUGUUCAAGAGUGGUCAAGAGAGUGAUUUUGCCCUCCUGAAAAUGGCUUUGGAUAACAUCCUUGACAAUCAUGCUCAACUUACUGAGCAGUUUAAAUAUCAGAUUCUUUUGGAACAUCUUGAACACCCAGGUGUUAAGAAAUUAGCCAGAUCCAGCAUGCAUGAUGCAAGACCAUAUUCCACCACCCUCGAAGCACUACAAGAGAAGUAUGGUCAGCCAACGUUGCUAGUUCAUAGUAAAAUUGGAGCAGUAUUGAAUUCUCCCAUUGUUCACUUAGGUGAUGUAGAGGCCUUUGAUGAUUUCUCCCUUUUUGUCCUUGCGCUUGUGAGAAUGUUGCUGUCCCUAGAGGGCCCUGAUGGGUCUGAAUUAAAAUGUGGCUCUCAUGUUGACAGACUCCUCAGUAAACUCCCUGUGCCGCACAGAGAUUGAUUUGUUGAGCACUGUAUCAAUCGUAGCAUUCUGACUGAGCAAGCAAACCAGACGUACUCCCUCCUUGACCUUUCAACCUGGCUACAGUCAAAGUCAAGAGCCAAACGUAUAUCGGAGAGAGCGGUUGAGCUCCACCAACUGGAAAGGAACGCAAGCCCUCCAGGCAAGUCUCCUUAGUCUACUUGUCGACAACAUCUGAGAUGGAUGGCACAACACAAGCCUACACCAAAGAAAAGGUAAAUGCUAAUAAGCCUAAGCCUUACUGUCCCUACUGUGAUAUCAGAAACCAUUUCCUUGGUUCAUGUACAGAAUUCAAAAACCUCUAAAAAUGACAUUGUGAAAUGGAUCAAAGAGAAGGAGAGAUGUAGUAAAUGUGGGAGGAUACACAAAAUGGACUAAUGCACCUUAAGGAGGCCAUGUAACAUCUCUAAGGAAAUUCAUCUCACUGUUCUCCAUGAUGUCAAUGUCAAUAAAUCUGCCACAGUGAUGUUAACAUCUUCUCUCUCAGAGCUCCUUUACAUAGACAAACUCAACCGCUCCAAUGAAGUCAUGCUGACAGUUUUCAGUGUAUCCCUCCACAAUGGGACAGAACCUCACAACUUCUGCAGUUCAAUCAAUCAAUCAAUCAAUCAAUUUUAUUCAUAAAGCCCAAUGUCACAAAUCACAAUUUGCCUCACAGGGCUUUACAGCAUACGACAUCCCUCUGUCCUUAGGACCCUCACAGCGGAUAAGGAAAAACUCCCCAAAAAAACCCUUUAACGGGGAAAAAAAACGGUAGAAACCUCAGGAAGAGCAACUGAGGAGGGAUCCCUCUUCCAGGACGGACAGACGUGUAAUAGAUGUCGUACAGAACAGAUCAACAUGAUAAAUUAACAGUAAACCGUAUGACACAAUGAGACAGAGAGAGACAGAGACAGAGAGAGAUGCAGGAUAGACGGUAAUGGCAGUAGCUUACAACAACAUUAUGAAAGUAAUAAUAUUAUAAUUAAUAAUAAUAUAUUCAGUUCUUGAUGAUGGUGCAGACAGAUCUAUCCUGCUUCCCCAAGCUGUCCAGUGUUUGGGCCUCACAAUGCAAUCUGAAACCAUCUCAAUAUGCACUUAAACCAUCUCAAUAUGCACAAAAUAUAGUGCAGGUGAAUUGAGCAUCUAUAUCCCUUGAAAUCUCCCCCAUUGACCAGCCAACUAAGAGACAUGUCAUCAAUGGAGCAUUCACUGCAGAGAAUCUUGGAUUGUCAGAGCACACAUACCCUGUGAAGCAGCUGCAAGAGCAGUAUCAACAUCUACCAUCCACCAUCAGAGGUAUUCCAUUACAGCCUAUCGAUCAUGUGUGCCCUCUGGUCCUCGUCGGCUCAGACUAUGCCCAUCUGAUUACAGCCACGGAGCCAGUACUCGAGGGACUCCCUAGUGGCCCAUUAGCAGUACAUACCAGGUUAAGAUGGGCUCUCCAAGGGCCAGCCAGCUUAAUCCAAACCCAGCACAUCUUCUCAUAUGCUCUUACCUGCUUUAAAAGUGAAAUGUUGAAGAAUGUGGAAAGACUCUGGCAGAGUGACACUCUGCCCUAUGUGAGACAGUCAUGAGGUCAAAACAAGACAAGUUAGCCCUUGAUCGACUCCAUUCCAAGACAAUCAGAGUAGAAAUAGAUGGUGAAAUGCGGUGUGCCACUCCACUGCUAAGAGCUCCCAACAUUUCUGUUCUUAAAGCUCCUAAGGAAGCUGUCCUGCCCCGUCUCUGUGCUACAGAAAGACACCUGUCCAAGGACCCUGAUUUGUCUGAUAAAUAUCAAGAUGAACUGAAUAAGCUUGUGCUACAUCCAGAGGAUCCCCAGGGAGAAGGGAGACCAACCACAGGAAAUCUGGUAUUUCCCACAUCACAUUGUUGAACACAAGAUUGUAUUUGACUACUCCUUUUAAUGCAUGGGACAGAACCUGAUUAAAUGUCUUCUGCCUUGCCCAACACUGGGUCCCUCUCUCCUUGGAGUUCUCCUCAGGUUCAGCCAACAUGCCAUAGCCAUCUGUGGAGAUAUCAGUGGUAUGCUCCAUCUGGUACGCCUUUUGAAUGACAACAAACCCCUACUGCAUUUUAUAUGAAGAAGGAUGCAACUAGAUCAGGAGCCCAGUGUUUAUGAAUGGCAAGUUUUGCCAUUUGGAAGAACCAGCAGCCCAUGUUCUGCCACCCAUGCAGUCCACAAACAUGUCCAAGAUCAUUGUGAUGGAAAUGAGGAUGCCCUUCAGUCUGUCCAACAUUGUUUUUAUGUUGAUAACUGUCUCCAAAGUGUUCCUUCCUCUCUUUAAGCCGAGUCCCUGAUUGACAAAAUGAGACCUUUGCUCGCUGAUGGUGGGUUUGACAUCAGAAAAUGGGCUAGCAAUAAUCCAGCUGUCAUACAACAUCUCCCCCCAGAUGCAAAAUGUAAAACCUGUGAACUGUGGCUCUCAGAAAAUGGUGACAACUGACACUUGGCCUUCAAUGGAACUUCCUCACAGACAUGCUGAGUUACAAGAACGGGUUCAUCACCUACCAUCAAUCUAUAAUGAGGAAUAUAUAUAUACAUGUGCUGGCAAGUCAAUACAGUCCUGUGGGAUAUCUGAUCCCUUUCACAACCCGUGCUAAGAUCAUUGUACAGGAUUUAUGGAAGAAAGAGAGAGAAUGGGAUGACAUCAUCAAAAUGGACAGUUUGUUGGAGAAAUGGAAGGCAUGGGAGUUGGAACUGCAAAAUCUCCCCGACAUUAACUUCCCUCACUGUUAUCUGCCCCCCCUUUGCCAACACAGCUACCUUAGAGUCCUAUAUGCAUGUAUUCUGUGAUGCCUUAUAGCAUGUCUAUGGUGCUGUGGCCUACCAUUUAGAACCUUAUAUCCUCAACAGUAUGAAUACUUAUGCAAAUGUGAUAUUUCAGUUUUUUGUAUUUUUAAUACAUUUGCAAAAAUUUCUAACAACCUGUUUUUGCUUUGUCAUAUUGUGUGUAGAUUGAUAAGGAAAAAGAUUAAUUUCAUCUAUUUUAAAUUAAGUCUAUAACGCAACAAAGUAUGGUAUGUAAGCUUUUGACCACAACUGUACAUAUUAUUUGAAUGUACUGAAAAUGUAUUUACAUGAAACAGGUUUUAUAGUAUUAAGUGGAAUGUUAACUGAAUUGAUUUAAUUAUUUCAAAAGGAAAUACUGCACUUGGACAUUGGAUGAAAAUAAAACAUAGAUUGAUGAAUGCAAUAGUAUCACUCACUGGUGGGAAAAGGCUGUCACUUUCGGCUAGAUUAAACACAGAUGAGUUUCUCAGCACUCGCUUACGGAACACUAUCAGGCCAUCCAACACUGAUAUUAGUGAACCUGAAGAAACAAAAAUUGAGAGUGAGCCAUGCUUUUAUGUUUUACUUUGCUUCAGGGGCGGGCUGGCCAUAGGGACGUUCGGGGUAUUCCCGAACGGCUGGUCUGUUUCAGGCCGAACUGGACGAUGGUCGGAACAUUUUUUUUACCCCAUAAAACGCAGCCGCGGUUGACCGCAGCAGCCUGCCCUCGCAACCACAGGUGGCACAGAGUGGAACGUGACACUGGGUCAAUCUAAUAUUUUGCAUAUUAAGGGAGGAUACAAGCGGCCCCUCCCAAUUUGAGCUGAUCGUGUUGUUUUCCUCUUUAAAAAAAAAAAAAAAGAAUAAAAGAAAGAGGAGCGGGGUAAAUUAGCAAACAUGCUAAAAAGAAAGAAUCUGGAAAAAGAGAUGGGUGGAGCUGAAAAAUUAAAGGCAAAAAAGAAAAAAAGGUUAGUGCAGGAUGCAGCCAAAUGCGCUAAAUUGACAGAGCUUUUCCGUGGUGGAGGGGCUAAGGUCAGCGUGGCUACAGUCAGCCAGGCCAGUGACGACACGGGCCCGACAAACCCGACUGGACCCGCGGGUUUGGGCCAGGUUUGGGACGAAAACAUAUGCAAAUGACUUGGGUUGAGUCAGGCCUCGGGAUUCCUUUUUUGUGUGUUCAGGGCACACAGAACAUUAAAGGUAGCCUAUCAGCAAUGUUACACAUGUAUACGUGCAUAAAUCAUUAAUCUGCUUCAUCAAUUAAAAAUAAAAUCCAUACUGGCUGACCAGAAAACGCACAAAUUUCUUUACUGCAAAAGAAAACAUAUUUCAAGAGAGAGUCUGUGUUCAAAGUUAAAAAGAUAGUAUUUGAAUAUAUAGGCUAUACAUCCUGUUUUCCUGUUCUGUUUCUACAUUAAUAUAUAGCCAUUUUUACCAGCUCAAGAAAAAUACAUUAAUUCACUUACAAUGUGUGCGUGAGUGUGCGAGCGUGUGUGUGUGUGUGCGCGCGUGCGAGUAUAUGUGCCGCUUUUGUUAUGUUGAUUUUUAUAUUGUAUUUGUGUUCUAACACUGUGAAUUCUUUGCAAAAGUGCUAUAACGUUUAUCAUUGUUGCUGU